GAGAGAGGCCCGAAGCUAAUAGAGACUGCUAAUCCCUAGACCCGCGGUUUAACUCCGCGGCUCACUCG
RNAcentral lists this transfer RNA (68 nucleotides) under Alepocephalus bicolor (bicolor slickhead). RNAcentral's name for it is "tRNA-Ser (AGY)". Lineage: Eukaryota; Metazoa; Chordata; Actinopteri; Alepocephaliformes; Alepocephalidae. RNAcentral also lists the same sequence under 2 other names. The record is from RNAcentral.